AUUGAACGCUGGCGGCAGGCCUAACACAUGCAAGUCGAGCGGAGCGGCGGACGGGUGAGUAAUACCUAGGAAUCUGCCUGGUAGUGGGGGAUAACGUCCGGAAACGGGCGCUAAUACCGCAUACUAUCAGAUGAGCCUAGGUCGGAUUAGCUAGUUGGUGGGGUAAGGGCUUACCAAGGCUACGAUCCGUAACUGGUCUGAGAGGAUGAUCAGUCACACUGGAACUGAGACACGGUCCAGACUCCUACGGGAGGCAGCAGUGGGGAAUAGUGGACAAUGGGCGAAAGCCGGAUCCAGCCAUGCCGCGUGUGUGAAGAAGGUCUUCGGAUUGUAAAGCACUUUAAGUUGGGAGGCGUUACCGACAGAAUAAGCACCGGCUAACUCCGUGCCAGCAGCCGCGGUAAUUC
Molecule: ribosomal RNA, 407 nt
Filed under: uncultured bacterium
Lineage: Bacteria
Description: partial 16S ribosomal RNA
Rfam family: Bacterial small subunit ribosomal RNA
Source: RNAcentral